GUAUAAAUAAAACCCUAUGAGAGAAUAUUGGACAACCUACAUGAAAUUGAGAAAUUCCCAGAAACAAAACAUUUAUCAAGACUAAAUAUGAAGAAGUAGAAAAUCUGAAUACAGUUAUAACUAGUAAAAAGAUGCAAUCCAUAAUAAAAUAUUUUCCAACCAAGAAAAAAUUUGAUUUGAUAACUUCGCAAAUGAAUUCUCCCAGACAUUUAAGGAAUAACUAAUAACCAAUUCUUUGAGACUGUUUCUAAAAGUUUGAAGAGGAGGGAAUACUUCCAGACUUAUUCUAGGAGGCCAGCAUUGCCUGGAUAAUAAAACCAAACAAGGCCACUAAAAGAAAACUAUUUGCCAUAACCCCUUCUAACCAUUGAUGUAAAAAUCCUUAACAAAAUAUUAGCAAACCAAAAUCAAUAGCAUGAUAAAAGGAUCAUACAUCAUGACUGAUUUAUUUCUGGAAUGCAAAUAUAGUUCAGUAUCCAAAAAUUAAUUGUUAAAAUAGCACAGUAACAGAAUGAAGAAAAAAAUCCCACAUGAUUUUUUUAUGUGAAUUGAUGCAGAAAAAGCAUUUGUUAAAACUCAACAACUCUCAUGACAAAAACACUUAAAAAGCUAUGAAUAUAAGGAAACUACUUCAACAAAAUAAAAACCAUCUAUGUAGAGCCCACAGCAAACAUCAAACUGAAUGGUGAAAAAAUGAAAACUUUUCCUGUAAGAUCAGAAACAAGACAAAGAUGCUUACUUUUCGCCAUUUCCAUUUGGUAUAAUACUGGGAAGUUCUAGCCAAAUUAAUUAGGCUAGGAAAAGAAAAGGCACCCAAAUUGGAAAGGAAGAAUUAAAAUUUUCUGUUAACAUAGAAAGUUCUAAAGUUUCCACAAAAACUGAUAGAACUAAUAAAUUAAUUAAGGAAAUUAGCCAGGUACAAAAGUCAAUACACAAAAAUUAGUUGUAUUUCUAUUCACUAAAAAAGAAAAAUUUUGAAAAGGUCAUUAUGAAAACACUUCCCUUUAUGAUGAUAUCAAAAUGACUAAAAAGCUUAGGAAUUAACCAAAAAAAAAAAAAAAAAAAAAGAAAGAAAAGAAAGAGAGAGAAUUGUACAAUGAGAAUUACAAAACAUUGCUGAAAGUGGAAACAUAUCCCAUGUCCACGAUUAGAAGAUUUAAUAUUUUUUUUGAGGUGUCGGUACUUACCCAGCAUCAUCUACAGAUUCAGUCCCUAUCAAGAUUCUAAUGACAUUUUUUGCAGAAAUGGGAAAACACAGUUUCCGAUUCAAAAUGGAAACUAAAGGGACCCUGAAUAGCUAAAAUAGUCUUGGGGAAAAAAAAAAAAGAACAAAGCUUACACUUCCAGAUUUCAAAAUUUACUGUAAAGUUGCAAUAAUUAAAAAGUGUGGUACUGCUAUAAAGACAAACAUGAAGACCAGUAGAAUGAAAUAGAGAGUCCAGAGAAAAUUCUCACGUAAGUGAUCAAAUGAUUUUCAGCAAGAGUGCAAAGACCAUUCAAUGGAGAAAAGCACAGUUUUUCAACUGUGUUUGGGGAAACUAGAUAUCCAUAUUCAAAAGAAUCAAGUUGUAACCUUAUCUAACACUAUGUGCAAAAUUUAUUCAAAAUGGAUCAAAGUUGAAGUUUUACCUAAAACUGUAAAACUCUUGGGAGAACACAAGAAUAGUUUAAUGACAUUGAAUUUGUCAAUGAUGUCUGAAAUAGGAUAUCAAAGGCACAGAUGUUAAAAAAUAAAGACAAGUUUUUCUUCAUGAACAAUUUUACAAUUUUUGCAUCAGAACACAUCAACAGAGUAAAAAGGCAACACACAGAAAGGGAUAAAAUAUUUACACAUCAUUUAUCUGACUAGAGACCAAUAUCCAGAAUAUAUGGAGAACUCCUAAAACUUAACAAGAGCAAAAACCUGCUUUAGAAAUAUUAUAGGACUUGAGUAGACAGGUUUCCAAAGAAGUUAAACAAAUGGCCAAUAAGCACAUGAAAAGGUGUUCAACAUCACUAAUCAGUAUGAAAAUGCAAUUAAAAACAAUUAUGAGAUAAGUACCUCACCCUAAUUAGUAUGGCUACUAUAAAAUAAAAUUUAAAAAAGAAAGAAAAUAAGAGGUGUUGGCAAAUAUGUGUAGAAAUUGGAAUUUUUGUGCACUGUUGGUUGAAAUAUAAAGUGGUACAAGCAUGGUGGAAAACAAUAUAUUAGUUCCUCAAAAUAUGAAAAUAUCAUCCAACAAUAUCACUUCUGGUAUAUACUUAAAAUAAUAGAAAGCAGGAGCUCAAAGAGAUGUUUGUAAAUUGGUGUUCAUAGCAGCAUUAGUCACAGUAGCUAAAAUGUGGGAGCAACCCAAGGGCCAAUCAAGGGACAAAUGGAAAAACAAAAUGUAUCUACACACAGUGGAAUAUUAUUAAACCUUUAAAAGGAAGCAAAUUCUGACAUGUGCUAAAACAUGAUUGAACUUGAGGACAUUAUGACAAAUGAAAUAAGCUAAUCACUGAAAGACAAACCCUUCUUUAUACCACUUACGUAAGAUACUUGAGUCAAAAUCUAGAGACUGAAAGUUGAGUGGUGGUUGCCAGAGGCUGGGGGUAGGAAGGAA
Molecule: long non-coding RNA, 2585 nt
Filed under: Marmota monax (woodchuck)
Lineage: Eukaryota; Metazoa; Chordata; Mammalia; Rodentia; Sciuridae
Source: RNAcentral